Zalophus californianus (California sea lion) is the source of this 104-nucleotide small nuclear RNA. Lineage: Eukaryota; Metazoa; Chordata; Mammalia; Carnivora; Otariidae. The record is from Ensembl.
GUAGCUUUGGCAGAACAUGUACUAAAAUUGGAACGAUACAGAGAAGAUGAGCAGGGCCCCUGCACAAGGAUGACACAUAAAUUCCUGAAGCAUUCCAUAUUAAA